UACUGUCUCUUACUUCCAAUCAGUGAAAUUGACCUUCCCGUGAAGAGGCGGGAAUAAAAAAAUAAGACGAGAAGACCCUAUGGAGCUUUAACUAGUUAGCUUAAAGAAAAAAACUUUACCACCAAGGGACAACACUAAUCUUAAUAAACUAACAGUUUCGGUUGGGGUGACCUCGGAGAAUAAAAAAUCCUCCGAGCGAUUUUAAAAACAAGACACACAAGUCAAAUUGAACUAUCGCUUAUUGAUCCAAAAUUUGAUCAACGGAACAAGUUACCCUAGGGAUAACAGCGCAAUCCUAUUCAAGAGUCCAUAUCGACAAUAGGACUUGCGCUGUUAUCCCUA
Molecule: ribosomal RNA, 342 nt
Filed under: Gazella subgutturosa subgutturosa (Persian gazelle)
Lineage: Eukaryota; Metazoa; Chordata; Mammalia; Artiodactyla; Bovidae
Description: partial large subunit ribosomal RNA
Rfam family: Bacterial large subunit ribosomal RNA
Source: RNAcentral